AUCAGAUUAGUUUAUAAAAAACGUUAGUUUGUGGGACUAAAAAAGAACCAUCUUGUUCCUCUGAUU
RNAcentral lists this transfer RNA (66 nucleotides) under Melanoides tuberculata. Its description in RNAcentral is "tRNA-His". Lineage: Eukaryota; Metazoa; Mollusca; Gastropoda; Thiaridae. The record is from RNAcentral.